This 87-nucleotide transfer RNA is filed under the name Nitzschia sp. PL3-2. RNAcentral's name for it is "tRNA-Ser". It matches the Rfam family "tRNA". Rfam says of the family: Transfer RNA (tRNA) molecules are approximately 80 nucleotides in length. Their secondary structure includes four short double-helical elements and three loops (D, anti-codon, and T loops). RNAcentral also lists the same sequence under 1 other name. The record is from RNAcentral. Lineage: Eukaryota; Bacillariophyta; Bacillariophyceae; Bacillariales; Bacillariaceae.
GGAUAGAUGGCCGAGCGGUUUAAGGCGAUAGUUUUGAAAACUGUUGUAAUUUAACAAUUACCGUGGGUUCGAAUCCCACUCUGUCUU